UGAUGCAGAGAAAUACACCGGUGUGCCGAUUGCAUCAGGGUUACGGAUUACAUCAAGAGGGCAUGUUUUGUUUCUUGUGUGUCCUAAUGUAAUGCCUCCAUUGUCGGCCCAAAGUGGAAAUACGUAGUAACCUUCACCUGGUUUAAGAGGGUUACCUUGUUUGUCUACUACUGCCUCUGGUUCAGCUCCUUGUACCCAAAGUGGAAAUACGUAGUAACCUUCACCUGGUUUAAGAGGGUUACCUUGUUUGUCUAC
RNAcentral lists this long non-coding RNA (255 nucleotides) under Medicago truncatula (barrel medic). RNAcentral's name for it is "lncRNA gene19213". The record is from RNAcentral. Lineage: Eukaryota; Viridiplantae; Streptophyta; Magnoliopsida; Fabales; Fabaceae.